UGUGCACAUCCGCUCGUCUGACCCACUGCUCUGGGCCUGGGGCUGUGGGUGGCAGAGGUGCUCCACUAACCCACAGUGACACUGCCUGGCGGGUGUUCAGUCUGUGCAAA
This is a non-coding RNA of Loxodonta africana (African savanna elephant), 110 nucleotides long. The record is from Rfam. Lineage: Eukaryota; Metazoa; Chordata; Mammalia; Proboscidea; Elephantidae.